ACGUAGGGGGCAAGCGUUAUCCGGAUUUACUGGGUGUAAAGGGAGCGUAGGCGGCGAUGCAAGUCAGAAGUGAAAGCCCAGGGCUUAACCGUGGGACUGCUUUUGAAACUGUGUUGCUGGAUUGCCGGAGAGGUAAGUGGAAUUCCUAGUGUAGCGGUGAAAUGCGUAGAUAUUAGGAGGAACACCAGUGGCGAAGGCGGCUUACUGGACGGUAAAUGACGCUGAGGCUCGAAAGCGUGGGGAGCAAACAG
RNAcentral lists this ribosomal RNA (251 nucleotides) under uncultured bacterium. Its description in RNAcentral is "partial 16S ribosomal RNA". It matches the Rfam family "Bacterial small subunit ribosomal RNA", at positions 525 to 775 of the family's 1533-position model. The record is from RNAcentral.